Molecule: ribosomal RNA, 468 nt
Filed under: uncultured bacterium
Lineage: Bacteria
Description: partial 16S ribosomal RNA
Rfam family: Bacterial small subunit ribosomal RNA
Source: RNAcentral
GAUGAACGCUGGCGGCGUGCUUAAUACAUGCAAGUCGAACGGAAAGGCCCUGCUCUUGCGGGGUUCUCGUGUGGCGAACGGGUGAGUAACACGCGAGUAACCUGCCCUUGACUUUGGGAUAACUUCAGGAAACUGGGGCGAAUAUCGGAGAGGAGCUCUUGCUGCAUGGGGGGGGUUGGAAAGUUUCGGCGGUUGGGGAUGGUCUCGCAGCUUAUCAGCUUGUUGGUGGGGUAGUGGCUUACCAAGGUUUCGACGGGUAGCCGGCCUGGGAGGGUGACCGGCCACAAUGGGACUGAGAGACGGCCCAGACUGCUACGGGAGGCAGCAGUGGAGAGUAUUACGCAGUGGGCGGGAGCGUGAUACAGCAGCGCCGCGUGCGGGAUGACGGCCUUCGGGGUGUAAACCGAUUUGGCCUUUGCCGAAGCGUGAGUGACGGUAAUGGGUAAGAAAGCACCGGCUAACUACGUG